This 253-nucleotide ribosomal RNA is filed under the name uncultured bacterium. RNAcentral's name for it is "partial 16S ribosomal RNA". It matches the Rfam family "Bacterial small subunit ribosomal RNA", at positions 524 to 776 of the family's 1533-position model. The record is from RNAcentral.
UACGAGGGGUGCAAGCGUUGUUCGGAAUUAUUGGGCGUAAAGGGCGCGUAGGCGGCGCGGUAAGUCACCUGUGAAAUCUCCCGGCUUAACUGGGAGGGUGCGCCGAAGACUGGAAGGCUUGAGUAUGGGAGAGGUAAGCGGAAUUCCUGGUGUAGCGGUGAAAUGCGUAGAUAUCAGGAGGAACACCUGCGGUGUAGACGGCUUACUGGACCAUAACUGACGCUGAGGCACGAAAGCGUGGGUAGCAAACAGG